AAAGAACUGUGUGAAAAUCUGUAACUUCAUGUUUUCAAGCCUGCUCUUGGUGGAAUACACUCCAUAAGGCACUUCAAGAGUUUAAAUAGGAGCACUUGUCAUUGCCUACAAUCUGUAAGUAGCUCCUCUCUUCUGGCUCCAAAAGCACCUCAAACAUUUAAUAUACUGGAAAGGUCUGAACAAAAGGACAGCAAUUGUUACCAGAGAGAAGGAAAACUGUACACAAAAAUUUGGAGGUGAGUAAAAGGAACUGAGAGAAGUUCAACAAGAAACAGAAGAGGGACGCCUGGGUAGCUCAGUGGUUGAGCAUCUGCCUUUGGGCCAGGUCGCAGUCCCUGGGUCCUGGGAUCGAGUCCUGCAUCAAGCUCCCUGCAGGAGCCUGCUUCUCCCUCUGCCUGUAUGUCUGCCUCUGUGUGUGUGUGUGUGUGUCUCGCAUGAAUAAAUGAAUAAAAUCUUAAAGAAAAAUAAAAUCAUCCAGAAAUUAAAAGUUUAUUUUAAUUAAUAAAUAAAUAGGGCAGCCCGGGUGGCUCAGCAGUAUAGCGCUGCCUUCAGCCCAGGGCAUGAUCCGGGAGACCCAGGAUCGAGUCCCACAUAGUGCUUCCUGCAUGGAUCCUGCUUCUCCUUCUGCCUGUGCCUCUGCCUCUCUCUCUCUCUCUCUCAUGAAUAAAUAAAAUCUUUUAAAAAAUCAAUCAAUCAAUCAAUAACACAGGAGUUGCUAGAGGCUCCCCUGGGUGGCUCAGUGAUUGAGCAUCCACCUUUGACUCAGGUCAUGAUCCCAGAUCCCUGCAAUGGAGUCCCACAUCGGGCUCCCUGCAGGGAAGCUGCUUUUUCCUUUGUCUCUGUCUCUGCUUCUCUCUCUAUGUUUCUUAUGAUAAAUAAAAUAUUUUUUUAAAAAAGUAGUUGUUAAAGAUAAACUAAAACAUUCACAGAUAAAAUAUGAUUCUGAGAUUUGCUUUAAAGUAAUCAUGAGGGAAGCCUGGGUGGCUCAGAGGUUGAGCGCCUGCCUUCGGCCCAGGGCAUGAUCGGGCUCCCUGCAUGGAACCUGCUUCUCCCUCUGCCUGUGUCUCUGCCUCUUUCUCUUUCUCUGUCUGUCAUGAAUAAAUAAAUAAAUCUUAAAAAAAAAAAAAAGUAGGGCAGCCCGGGUGGCUCAGCGGUUUAGCACUGCCUUCAGCCCAGGGCCUGAUCCUGGAGACCCAGGAUCGAGAUCCAUGUCAGGCUCCUUGCAUGGAGCCUGCUUCUCCCUCUGCCUGUGUCUCUGCCUCUCUCUCUGUG
This 1272-nucleotide long non-coding RNA is filed under the name Canis lupus familiaris (dog). Its description in RNAcentral is "lncRNA (ENSCAFG00000051389.1, ENSCAFG00845030163.1)". Lineage: Eukaryota; Metazoa; Chordata; Mammalia; Carnivora; Canidae. The record is from RNAcentral.